Molecule: ribosomal RNA, 589 nt
Filed under: Rhodotorula mucilaginosa
Lineage: Eukaryota; Fungi; Basidiomycota; Microbotryomycetes; Sporidiobolales; Sporidiobolaceae
Description: partial large subunit ribosomal RNA
Rfam family: Eukaryotic large subunit ribosomal RNA
Source: RNAcentral
GCAUAUCCAAAAAGCGGAGGAAAAGAAACUAACAAGGAUUCCCCUAGUAGCGGCGAGCGAAGCGGGAAGAGCUCAAAUUUAUAAUCUGGCACCUUCGGUGUCCGAGUUGUAAUCUCUAGAAAUGUUUUCCGCGUUGGACCGCACACAAGUCUGUUGGAAUACAGCGGCAUAGUGGUGAGACCCCCGUAUAUGGUGCGGACGCCCAGCGCUUUGUGAUACAUUUUCGAAGAGUCGAGUUGUUUGGGAAUGCAGCUCAAAUUGGGUGGUAAAUUCCAUCUAAAGCUAAAUAUUGGCGAGAGACCGAUAGCGAACAAGUACCGUGAGGGAAAGAUGAAAAGCACUUUGGAAAGAGAGUUAACAGUACGUGAAAUUGUUGGAAGGGAAACGCUUGAAGUCAGACUUGCUUGCCGAGCAAUCGGUUUGCAGGCCAGCAUCAGUUUUCCGGGAUGGAUAAUGGUAGAGAGAAGGUAGCAGUUUCGGCUGUGUUAUAGCUCUCUGCUGGAUACAUCUUGGGGGACUGAGGAACGCAGUGUGCCUUUGGCGGGGGUUUCGACCUCUUCACACUUAGGAUGCUGGCAGCAAGGCCGUU